GUGAACCAGUACCGUGAGGGAAAGGCGAAAAGAACCCCGGCGAGGGGAGUGAAAAAGAACCUGAAACCGUGUACGUACAAGCAGUGGGAGCACAGGUUUACCUGUGUGACUGCGUACCUUUUGUAUAAUGGGUCAGCGACUUAUAUUCUGUAGCAAGGUUAACCGAAUAGGGGAGCCGGAGGGAAACCGAGUCUUAACCGGGCGUUAAGUUGCAGGGUAUAGACCCGAAACCCGGUGAUCUAGCCAUGGGCAGGUUGAAGGUUGGGUAACACUAACUGGAGGACCGAACCGACUAAUGUUGAAAAAUUAGCGGAUGACCUGUGGCUGGGGGUGAAAGGCCAAUCAAACCGGGAGAUAGCUGGUUCUCCCCGAAAGCUAUUUAGGUAGCGCCUCGUGAAUUCAUCUCCGGGGGUAGAGCACUGUUUCGGCUAGGGGGCCAUCCCGGCUUACCAACCCGAUGCAAACUGCGAAUACCGGAGAAUGUUAUCACGGGAGACACACGGCGGGUGCUAACGUCCGUCGUGAAGAGGGAAACAACCCAGACCGCCAGCUAAGGUCCCAAAGUCAUGGUUAAGUGGGAAACGAUGUGGGAAGGCCCAGACAGCCAGGAUGUUGGCUUAGAAGCAGCCAUCAUUUAAAGAAAGCGUAAUAGCUCACUGGUCGAGUCGGCCUGCGCGGAAGAUGUAACGGGGCUAAACCAUGCACCGAAGCUGCGGCAGCGACGCUGAUGCGUUGUUGGGUAGGGGAGCGUUCUGUAAGCCUGCGAAGGUGGCCUGUGAGGGUUGCUGGAGGUAUCAGAAGUGCGAAUGCUGACAUAAGUAACGAUAAAGCGGGUGAAAAGCCCGCUCGCCGGAAGACCAAGGGUUCCUGUCCAACGUUAAUCGGGGCAGGGUGAGUCGACCCCUAAGGCGAGGCCGAAAGGCGUAGUCGAUGGGAAACGGGUUAAUAUUCCCGUACUUGGUGUUACUGCGAAGGGGGGACGGAGAAGGCUAUGUUGGCCGGGCGACGGUUGUCCCGGUUUAAGCGUGUAGGCUGGUUUUCCAGGCAAAUCCGGAAAAUCAAGGCUGAGGCGUGAUGACGAGGCACUACGGUGCUGAAGCAACAAAUGCCCUGCUUCCAGGAAAAGCCUCUAAGCAUCAGGUAACAUCAAAUCGUACCCCAAACCGACACAGGUGGUCAGGUAGAGAAUACCAAGGCGCUUGAGAGAACUCGGGUGAAGGAACUAGGCAAAAUGGUGCCGUAACUUCGGGAGAAGGCACGCUGACACGUAGGUGAAGUGAUUUACUCAUGGAGCUGAAGUCAGUCGAAGAUACCAGCUGGCUGCAACUGUUUAUUAAAAACACAGCACUGUGCAAACACGAAAGUGGACGUAUACGGUGUGACGCCUGCCCGGUGCCGGAAGGUUAAUUGAUGGGGUCAGCGCAAGCGAAGCUCCUGAUCGAAGCCCCGGUAAACGGCGGCCGUAACUAUAACGGUCCUAAGGUAGCGAAAUUCCUUGUCGGGUAAGUUCCGACCUGCACGAAUGGCGUAAUGAUGGCCAGGCUGUCUCCACCCGAGACUCAGUGAAAUUGAACUCGCUGUGAAGAUGCAGUGUACCCGCGGCAAGACGGAAAGACCCCGUGAACCUUUACUAUAGCUUGACACUGAACAUUGAGCCUUGAUGUGUAGGAUAGGUGGGAGGCUUUGAAGUGUGGACGCCAGUCUGCAUGGAGCCGACCUUGAAAUACCACCCUUUAAUGUUUGAUGUUCUAACGUGGACCCGUUACCCGGGUUGCGGACAGUGUCUGGUGGGUAGUUUGACUGGGGCGGUCUCCUCCUAAAGAGUAACGGAGGAGCACGAAGGUUGGCUAAUCCUGGUCGGACAUCAGGAGGUUAGUGCAAUGGCAUAAGCCAGCCUGACUGCGAGCGUGACGGCGCGAGCAGGUGCGAAAGCAGGUCAUAGUGAUCCGGUGGUUCUGAAUGGAAGGGCCAUCGCUCAACGGAUAAAAGGUACUCCGGGGAUAACAGGCUGAUACCGCCCAAGAGUUCAUAUCGACGGCGGUGUUUGGCACCUCGAUGUCGGCUCAUCACAUCCUGGGGCUGAAGUAGGUCCCAAGGGUAUGGCUGUUCGCCAUUUAAAGUGGUACGCGAGCUGGGUUUAGAACGUCGUGAGACAGUUCGGUCCCUAUCUGCCGUGGGCGCUGGAGAACUGAGGGGGGCUGCUCCUAGUACGAGAGGACCGGAGUGGACGCAUCACUGGUGUUCGGGUUGUCAUGCCAAUGGCACUGCCCGGUAGCUAAAUGCGGAAGAGAUAAGUGCUGAAAGCAUCUAAGCACGAAACUUGCCCCGAGAUGAGUUCUCCCUGAGACUUAGAGUCUCCUGAAGGAACGUUGAAGACGACGACGUUGAUAGGCCGGGUGUGUAAGCGCAGCGAUGCGUUGAGCUAACCGGUACUAAUGAACCGUGAGGCUUAACC
Molecule: ribosomal RNA, 2455 nt
Filed under: Salmonella enterica
Lineage: Bacteria; Pseudomonadati; Pseudomonadota; Gammaproteobacteria; Enterobacterales; Enterobacteriaceae
Description: bacterial LSU rRNA
Rfam family: Bacterial large subunit ribosomal RNA
Source: RNAcentral